This 211-nucleotide long non-coding RNA is filed under the name Lathyrus oleraceus (garden pea). RNAcentral's name for it is "Pisum sativum (pea) long non-coding RNA (PSAT_LNC033594)". Lineage: Eukaryota; Viridiplantae; Streptophyta; Magnoliopsida; Fabales; Fabaceae. The record is from RNAcentral.
UUUUUUUUUCGAAACGCGUGGGUUUCGCCUAGUGAGCAUGACAGUUCAUGAACAAACUUUUGCUCCUUCAAGAUUAACGUUUUGACUGAUGAAUAGACCCCAUUUGAACAUGUUGGAAGUAUCUCAAGCCAUUCCCUUGUGUUGACCGAUCACCCAGAUAGGACCCACAAAGUGUCUUGGAUGAUAUUCAAGCUUCUUGGAUCUAAUUCCG